This 429-nucleotide ribosomal RNA is filed under the name Gemmatimonadota bacterium. RNAcentral's name for it is "Gemmatimonadetes bacterium partial 16S ribosomal RNA". It matches the Rfam family "Bacterial small subunit ribosomal RNA", at positions 355 to 776 of the family's 1533-position model. Lineage: Bacteria; Pseudomonadati; Gemmatimonadota. The record is from RNAcentral.
UAGGGAAUCUUCGGCAAUGGACGAAAGUCUGACCGAGCAACGCCGCGUGAGUGAGGAAGGUUCUUGGAUCGUAAAACUCUGUUGUUAGAGAAGAACAAGGACGUUAGUAACUGAACGUCACCUGACGGUAUCUAACCAGAAAGCCACGGCUAACUACGUGCCAGCAGCCGCGGUAAUACGUAGGUGGCAAGAGUUGUCCGGAUUUAUUGGGCGUAAAGCGAGCGCAGGUGGUUUCUUAAGUCUGCUGUGAAAGCCCCCGGCUCAACCAGGGAGGGUCAUUGGAAACUGGGAGGCUUGAGUGCAGGAGAGGAGGGUGGAAUUCCUUGUGUAGCGGUGAGAUGCGUAGAUAUAUGGAAGAACACCAGUGGCGAAGGCGGCUCUCUGGUCUGUAACUGACGCUGAGGCUCGAAAGCGUGGGGAGCAAACAGG